This 2407-nucleotide long non-coding RNA is filed under the name Homo sapiens (human). RNAcentral describes it as "HSALNT0164517". The record is from RNAcentral. Lineage: Eukaryota; Metazoa; Chordata; Mammalia; Primates; Hominidae.
UGGGAUAGGCACAGCAUAACUGCUACAGACACCCCUGUUCAAAAAGGGGGAAACAGGAGGUACCCAGAAGUCACAGGUCCACAGAGAUUCUGAAAUCCAGCCAGGCAAACUUGGAGGUUCCCUUAUUAGGACUCAGUCCUCCUCCUGCCUGUGCCAGAUGAGGUCAUGCAGGGAGAGCCAGCCCUAGACACACACUCCUCUUCCUGCCCCUGGCCUCUGUCCCACACUGGGAGGGGCACACCCUAGCCUGCACAUCCAAGCUCUCUCCCCAUCACAUACAUACCCUGCUUGACCACCCCAACGGCUUAGGGGUAUGUCACUGGCAGUUCAGUCCAUCUUCUGAAGGAGGGACUCUGAGGGAAAGUCCAUGCAGGCCCCAGAAGCAGGCUCAGGAUGGCUUCAAAUAGGAAUUCUGAGGUCUCCUGUAUGCAGAGUUUGGUCUAGAUAUGGAGAGGGUGGGCAUGGGCUCUGGUGGGCAUGUUCACUGGGCCCUGCAGGCUCCUCACCUCAUAGGAAUGGGCACAACCUGAGAAGGGUUCUGGUGGGGCCUUCCAAAGCAUGAGACCCAGGGGGGCCCUCCAAAGCCUGAGACUCAAGGCAGGGGCCCUCCAAAACAUGAGACCCAGGGGGGGCCCUCCAAAACAUGAGGGCCAGGGGAGGGGCCCCUCUUCCUAGGUUGAAGGGCAAUACUGGGGCUAGGGACUGAGAAUCUUCCUGUGAUUGAAACAUGUUAGGAUGAAAUGAGAGAGAGAGAGAGAGAGGACUGCAAGCUGGGGUUAUGGUUAGAAUGUGAGACACAGGGAGGCAAGAUUUCGCCAUGGCACAUUCAAGGUGGUGAGCAGCUGUAGAAGCGUGGAGUGAAGUGAAGCCCAGUGGAGCUGAGGUGAUCAGGGCUGUAGCUGAGGCUAAGAUGUUGAAGCUAUGCACCCCCCCCACACACACCCAGCAAACAGUGGUGGGGUCGGCACAGGUUAUUGACAGAGGUACUGAUGUCACCAGGGUGUUGCCAGGAUAAGAGAUGAGGAGGACAACGAUGAGUCAGGUACCAAAGUCUUCAGGGGACAUGGAGGUGUGACCAGGAAGCUGGCCAUAAAGGAUGGCAGGAAGUAAAGGAUGGCAGAGCUGAUGGCAUGAACCUCGAAGCAGGUGAUCUUAUAGGAGGUGACGAGCGAAGUAAGUGGCCCCCUCCCAGCCCCAGUCCAGUCGUGGGGUGUGGAAGGGAGUCUUCCCUGGGCUCCAGUAUCCACGGGGAAAGGCAAAGCCAAAUGACGAUGCACCAGUGAGUCACCAGUGAGAUUGCAUUUAAAAUCUAGCAGCCUCAGAGCCAAGACCAGCCUUGUGUAAACAGAGUUCAGGGAGGAGGGAAGAUAGUGGAGUGAGACGUGCCGAGGCCAGCCGGCCUCUGGGCUUGGGGUGCGCUGACCUCUGGGGAGCCGAGUGCAUCUGCUGGACUGAAGGCAGAGUAAUUUUUUCAUCUCAUGCAGAAGAAGAAAGAAGAUAUGUAGCAGAGGAAAGGAACGGAACAUUCUCCCUCCCUACCUUACACAGGAGAGUGGUCAUCUACACUAAAGCAAAACUUCCUUAUCAUAGGAAGACCAUUUUCCUUGACCUUUAGGUGAUUUUAUAGUCAUCUCGAAAGGGAAACAAAACUCAACUCAGGACUUGAUUGAACACAGAGAGUCCACUAGGAUGCAGUAUUCCUGCCCACUUCUCCAGGAAGAAAGAAGCAAAUGACGUGGGUCUUUUGGCACUGUUUGCUUAAUUAUAAAGAAAUUAUUUUGCAAGCUGAAUACUGAUGCUUUAUUUGAAACAGGUGCUUAGUUGGUGGCAUUUAUGAAUUCUUUACCUUUUGUUCCAAACCAAAAGACUAAUUAAAUAGCAAGUAUUGGUGGGGAAAAAAAAGAAAAAAAAAAGACUUUGUUGGGCGCGGUGGCUCAUGCCUGUAAUCCUAGCACUUUGGGAGGCCAAGGAGGGCAGAUCACGAGGUCAGGAGAUCGAGACUAUCCUGGCCAACAUGGUGAAACCCGUCUCUACUAAAAAUACAAAAAUUAGCUGGGUGUGGUGGCACGCGCCUGUAGUCCCAGCUACUCGGGAGGCUGAGGCAGAAGAAUUGUUUGAACCCGGGAGGCGGAGGUUGCAGUGAGCCAAGAUCGCACCACUGCACUCCAGCCUGGGUGACAGAGCGAGACUCCCUCUCAAAAAAAAAAAAAAAAAAAAGACUUCAAAACAGUGUGGAAUUAUGGAAAUGGAUGCCAUCCAAGAAGACUGGAAAAAUACACUCUGACCUCUUUAUGCAGUAGAGCUAGGCUUUUCAAGAUACAGGAGACCAAUGAGAAGGGUUUUUUUUAGGCCGGGCACAGUGGCUCAUGCCUGUAAUCCCAGUACUUUGGGAGGCUGAGGCAGGCGG